UCAGACUAAUAUUACCAGCUUCACACACUAACAUUAUUUCAAAGGUUCCUCUCUUUCCUCCCUGUGAUUUGGAUGUUUAAGGCUCACACAAAUUUCAAAUAUGUUUGAAGUUAAAUUAGUGUGGUUCUGACUGGGGCUGACUUGAAUGCAUCACAGCGUCAAAGCUUUGACCGUUGCCUGACUUUGAAAUAAGCAUUCAAAUGCUUCAAUUUGUUUUUUAUUAUUCUAAUAUAUGCAUUACCAGAACAAUUCUGAAUAGCCCAUAAAAUAGGAAACAAUGAUCCAACGGCAUUCAUCAGUGAAUGAUGCAGGAAUGAGUCCUACAACCUAUAAGUAAGUUAGCAUGUUAGCAUGUUAGCACUUCCUGUUCCCUCGUCCCAAAGUCUUUCUGGUUAAAUGUCUGAAAUAAGGUCUGUGGUUUUAACACAAGCUCAAGACAUUUUCAGGUUUUAUUCUCCGACAUAAAAUGGGUCAGUAAAUCCCCCACUCCUGAUGUUUGAAGCUUUUACGUGUCUUAAAAAAGGCGGUUGCUAACGAGUGUCUAAAUGAGACUACAGAGGUUGUCGGGGACGUUAACAUGAAAACCCAUCUACUCACCAGUCCACCUUUACAGCCUCGUUGUGUUUCUACAUAUUUUUUUAGUCCCACCCUGAAGUUUGCAUCACCCUGGUUCCUGCCAAGAAAGUCAUUCAGACAUUUCACCAAAAACCCAUUGACUUUAAGACAAGGGAACCAGGAGUACUACCUGGUUAUAGGACUCAUUCCUACUCCACUCGCUUCGCAAGAACAAGUGGAAAAAAAAGACAGUCAAUCCUCAACAGUGCCUAAAUCUUUAUUUUUCAGUAAGCUACAUUUUUUUUCUCCAAAUUAGACAGUUUUACAUCAUGACACAAGAGUAACUUAAAUUAUCUAUAGCUGACAUGUACGCUUGAUUCCAGUCUCGAUGGAAGAAAAUACCCCCCCAAAAAAAACAACAUAACCAAAAAAAGAGGAAAAAAACAUUGAAACAAAAUUAAAACCAAAAAGCCCUCUUGAACGCAACCUCCAUUCCACAUCUGUUAAAGGAGUCGUUAGGCAAAAAUUAUCUGUCCAAACCCCAACACGGUGGAGUCGUCGAUUGUCCACAGCCGUUAGCGUAGCAUGGUAAGAGUGUUAAUGAGUUAAACCACAGUGAGUUGAUAAAGAGAUCGAGUCUUGUUCCAGUCAGUUGGUGUGCAUUUGUUAUUAUAACUUCCAAAAAAAAAAAGAAAUAAAAACCACCACAAGGGGGCAAG
This is a long non-coding RNA of Lates calcarifer (barramundi perch), 1274 nucleotides long. RefSeq lists it as uncharacterized. The record is from RefSeq and is a predicted model, not a curated record. NCBI's taxonomy places the organism in Eukaryota, Metazoa, Chordata, Actinopteri, Centropomidae. The transcript has 2 exons.